CCUAGAGUUGUAGGCUUUGCCUGCUAUCUCUUACCCAUGUCUUUUGAGUACCUUACGUUUCCUCGGUGGGUUCGCCCACCGAUUGGACAAACUUAAACCCUUUGCAGUUGAAAUCAGCGUCUGAAAAACUUAAUAGUUA
Molecule: unclassified non-coding RNA, 139 nt
Filed under: soil metagenome
Description: partial internal transcribed spacer 1
Source: RNAcentral